Chelonus insularis is the source of this 365-nucleotide long non-coding RNA. RefSeq lists it as uncharacterized. The record is from RefSeq and is a predicted model, not a curated record. NCBI's taxonomy places the organism in Eukaryota, Metazoa, Arthropoda, Insecta, Hymenoptera, Braconidae. The transcript has 3 exons.
AUUAACGCCUAGAACAAUGAAGAAAAUGGAGCGGGGAAUAGAGCCGUUGUUCUCAAUUAAUAAUUUAUGAUUAAUUUUCAAAAUCGAUGACCCAAGGAGAGUUCAUAAAGUAUUACCUGUAGAAUCACUACAAAAUAUAAAAACAUCAACUAUUAAAAAAGUUGGUCAAUAUGAAGAAGUCUUGAAAGAUUUAACAUAUAAAAUAGACCAAAAUCAUCCCGAAUAAGCAUUAUUGAAAAACUACAUGGAUGCAAAAUUCCUAAAAAUGACGAGAGAGAUGAAGGAUCAACUUACUUCCAUAAAGAGAAGUCUACAAAAUGAUUUAAAAGAAAAGGUUGAUGAACUAAAACAUAAUUUGAUCAUGA